CGUGAAGAGAAUUCUCAGAUAUCUUAAAGGAACAGAUGAUCUUGGACUUUACUAUCCAAGAAGUGACACAUUUGAGCUAAGAGGAUAUGCAGAUGCAGAUUAUGCAGGAGAUCUUGUAAAUAGGAAAAGCACCUCAGGUAUCAUUGAAAGGAACAAAGAUAAUACUAAGUCAAGGAAGAAAUCAAGUGUGGAUUUUGAAGACUAAGUGAAGAUGUUUCCCUAAUUGAUACUGGAGCAGCAUUGGAGCAAGAAGAAUAAAGCGAGGCGUUUUAUUUCUAGUUCCAUUGUAAAGGAACGGGUAAAGAUGGUAAGGAACUGUGGCAGUUUUAUUUGAGAAUGAUAGUCUAUUCCUGUGUAAGGAACAGACGAAUCGGCACUAAACUAAUAAGUUAAAGGAACUAACAAAUAAAAGGAACUAGACUUAGGCUUGAAGCAUUACAACGGUACAUUGAUGACAGUUGAGUAGAUAAUGCCUAAAAUAUAGGUAACCGUUUUUAUCUAAGAGAAAAUCCGAUUUUAUGGAAAAUCUUUUUAAGGAAAAGAUUUUGUUUUUCAAAAAGAUAAUAAAAAUAUUAUUCGGUUUUUACGGAUUUUAAUUAAAGAUAAUAUUUUUAUUAAAAGAAUUUAAUUUCAGUUUUCAAAUUUAAUAUGUUUUAAAUUAAAUCUGAUUUUCGAGUAAUGCUCAAAGUAGUUACUAUAAUCUAGGAGCAGUAACUAAAAACACGCCCACGUCUAACAUGAUCAUGGGAUCAUGGGAUAUUUUGAGGAACGUGUUCCUUGGGGUAAGGAACAUCAUGGGAUAAUGGUUUUUCACAAAUGCACGUUUUAAUUCCCACGUUCUAAAUUACUGUCACUAUAAAUAAUAUUGUCUAAGUAAGUUUCAAAGUGUGUCUGACUAAGUGAUUUAGUGAGUUUAACUAAUUAAAGUGUCAGUGCCUUCAUUCUCUCAUAAUAGCCAUUUGUUCUUUGCUUACUUACUCUAAUUCCACUAAGCUUAUUUCGAUCAAUUGUAUUUUGGUUUUUGGGGUAAGGGGACUUUGAGUGAAGUUCUAUAAGAGAGAAGCUUUGAGUAAGCUAGUAAGAGUGAGAAAACUUCAAGUGAAGUUGAGAGGAAUUGUUGUUAAGGGAACAGUGGCUCAGGAACUUGAGUUUAGGAACUCAAGGUGUGGCUCGAGAAUAGAAUUAGGUUGUAACAAAGUUGUUUGGCAUAAUUAGUGAAAGAGUCGAGUUUAAAAUCUCUA
Long non-coding RNA from Beta vulgaris subsp. vulgaris (sugar beet), 1241 nucleotides. RefSeq lists it as uncharacterized. The transcript has 2 exons. Lineage: Eukaryota; Viridiplantae; Streptophyta; Magnoliopsida; Caryophyllales; Amaranthaceae. The record is from RefSeq and is a predicted model, not a curated record.